Molecule: long non-coding RNA, 905 nt
Filed under: Cicer arietinum (chickpea)
Lineage: Eukaryota; Viridiplantae; Streptophyta; Magnoliopsida; Fabales; Fabaceae
Description: long non-coding RNA (CARI_LNC001325)
Source: RNAcentral
UCAAAACCCUCUUCUCCAUCAACAUCUCCAAAACAUGUCAACUCUCCACCCUCUUCUUCUGCUGAUGAAAGUACUCAUCAUACUACAUCAUCUUCAUCUGAACAAGAAAAGGAAAAACUUGUUAACAAGUCUGAGCCAAUUCCACAAGAAACUGAAGUUGAGUCUGAGUUGAAGGUGAAGGCGAAUUCACCGUUAAGAGAAAUCACCAAGUUACCGAAAGAAAACAUUUGGCAAACAUCAUCUACCUCUGAAGAAGAAAAAGAGAAGAUGUCAGUGUCUAAUCUGAUGCCAAAUGAAGUAGAACCAAAGAUGAAAUCACCGUUGAAAAGCAACCCUAUGUCACGACCAGAGAAUCUGUUUAAGCACACAACAACAAAUUUAGAUGAGGAAAGAUCAAUCUCACUGGAAGAAAACACUUGGCAAACAUCAUCUACCUCUCAAGAAGAAAAAGAAAAGAUGUCAAUGUCUAAUCCAAUGUCAAAUGAAGCAGAACCAAAGAUAAAGUCACCGUUGAAAAUUAACCCCAUGUUACAACCAGAGAAUCUGUUUAAGCACACAACAACAAAUUUAGAUGAGGAAAGAUCAAUUUCACCGGAAGAAAACACUUGGCAAACAUCAUCUACUUCUCAAGAAGAAAAAGAGAAGAUGCCAAUGUCUAAUCCGAUGCCAUAUGAAGCAGAACCAAAGAUGAAGUCGCCGUUGAAAAUCAACUCCAUGUCACGAUCAGAGAAUCUGUUUAAGCACACAACAAAAAAUUUAGAUGAGGAAAAAUCAAUCUCACCGAAAGAAAACGCUUGGCAAACAUCAUCUACCACUCAAGAAGAAAAAGAGAAGAUGUCAAUGUCUAAUCCGAUGCCAUAUGAAGUAGAACCAAAGAUGAAGUCACCGUUGAAAAUCAACCCCAU